Molecule: ribosomal RNA, 253 nt
Filed under: uncultured bacterium
Lineage: Bacteria
Description: partial 16S ribosomal RNA
Rfam family: Bacterial small subunit ribosomal RNA
Source: RNAcentral
UACAGAGGUCCCAAGCGUUGUUCGGAUUCACUGGGCGUAAAGGGUGCGUAGGUGGCGAGGUAAGUCGGAUGUGAAAUCUCCAAGCUUAACUUGGAAAUGGCAUUGGAAACUACCUUGCUUGAGGGUCGGAGGGGGGACUGGAAUUCAUGGUGUAGCAGUGAAAUGCGUAGAGAUCAUGAGGAAGACCAGUGGCGAAGGCGGGUCUCUGGACAGUUCCUGACACUGAGGCACGAAGGCCAGGGGAGCAAACGGG